RNAcentral lists this ribosomal RNA (464 nucleotides) under uncultured bacterium. RNAcentral's name for it is "partial 16S ribosomal RNA". It matches the Rfam family "Bacterial small subunit ribosomal RNA", at positions 339 to 795 of the family's 1533-position model. The record is from RNAcentral.
CUACGGGUCGCAGCAGUGGGGAAUAUUGCACAAUGGGCGCAAGCCUGAUGCAGCCAUGCCGCGUGUAUGAAGAAGGCCUUCGGGUUGUAAAGUACUUUCAGCGGGGAGGAAGGGAGUAAAGUUAAUACCUUUGCUCAUUGACGUUACCCGCAGAAGAAGCACCGGCUAACUCCGUGCCAGCAGCCGCGGUAAUACGGAGGGUGCAAGCGUUAAUCGGAAUUACUGGGCGUAAAGCGCACGCAGGCGGUUUGUUAAGUCAGAUGUGAAAUCCCCGGGCUCAACCUGGGAACUGCAUCUGAUACUGGCAAGCUUGAGUCUCGUAGAGGGGGGUAGAAUUUCAGGUGUAGCGGUGAAAUGCAUAGAGAUCUGGAGGAAUACCGGUGGCGAAGGCGGCCCCCUGGACGAAGACUGACGCUCAGGUGCGAAAGCGUGGGGAUCAAACAGGAUUAGAUACCCCGGUAGUC